Molecule: ribosomal RNA, 398 nt
Filed under: uncultured bacterium
Lineage: Bacteria
Description: partial 16S ribosomal RNA
Rfam family: Bacterial small subunit ribosomal RNA
Source: RNAcentral
CCUACGGGAGGCAGCAGUGAGGAAUAUUGGUCAAUGGGCGGGAGACUGAACCAGCCAAGCCGCGUGAGGGAGGAAGGUACAGAGUAUCGUAAACCUCUUUUGUCAGGGAACAAAGGCUGGGACUCGUCCCCGGAUGAGGGUACCUGAAGAAAAAGCAUCGGCUAACUCCGUGCCAGCAGCCGCGGUAAUACGGAGGAUGCGAGCGUUAUCCGGAUUUAUUGGGUGUAAAGGGUGCGUAAGGGGCAUCGCAAAUCAGCAGUGAAAUCCCAGGGCUCAACCCCGGAAGAGUUUUGGAAACUGGCGAGCUGGAGUGGGAGAGAGGUAAGCGGAAUGCGUGGUGUAGCGGUGAAAUGCGUAGAUAUUGGGAAGAACACCGAUGGCGAAGGCAGCGUACUGGA